AAUAAAGUGCCUGACCAAAAGGGUUGUCUUGAUAGGACAAAUAAUGUGAUUUCACCUUUAUUA
This 63-nucleotide transfer RNA is filed under the name Scolytinae sp. BMNH 1274287. RNAcentral's name for it is "tRNA-Ile". Lineage: Eukaryota; Metazoa; Arthropoda; Insecta; Coleoptera; Curculionidae. The record is from RNAcentral.